GAUGAAGAACGUAGCAAAAUGCGAUAAGUAAUGUGAAUUGCAGAAUUCAGUGAAUCAUCGAAUCUUUGAACGCACAUUGCGCCCGCUGGUAUUCCGGCGGGCAUGCCUGUUCGAGCGUCAUUUCAACCCUCAAACCCCCGGGUUUGGUGUUGGGGAUCGGCUCUGCCUCACGGCGGUGCCGCCCCCGAAAUACAUUGGCGGUCUCGCUGCAGCCUCCAUUGCGUAGUAGCUAACACCUCGCAACUGGAACGCGGCGCGGCCAUGCCGUAAAACCCCAACUUCUGAAUGUUGACCUCGGAUCAGGUAGGAAUACCCGCUGAACUUAAGCAUAUUAAUAAGCGGAGGA
This 346-nucleotide unclassified non-coding RNA is filed under the name soil metagenome. RNAcentral describes it as "partial contains 5.8S ribosomal RNA, internal transcribed spacer 2, and large subunit ribosomal RNA". The stretch from base 1 to 120 matches the Rfam family "5.8S ribosomal RNA", at positions 35 to 154 of the family's 154-position model. The record is from RNAcentral.